Falco peregrinus (peregrine falcon) is the source of this 2085-nucleotide long non-coding RNA. RefSeq lists it as uncharacterized. NCBI's taxonomy places the organism in Eukaryota, Metazoa, Chordata, Aves, Falconiformes, Falconidae. The transcript has 2 exons. The record is from RefSeq and is a predicted model, not a curated record.
CGCAUGCGCAGAAUCGGCUUGACGCCUCGGGGCGGGGCUUGUGGCUACGUACGUAUGUGCUACGCAUCCGGCCCCGGAAGGUGGGUUCAUUUCCGGCCCGCGCGGCGCGCUGGAGCGGCGGUGGCGGUGCGGGGCCUUCGCCGGGAGCCGUUCGGGCCGGGACGUGCGGCGGCGCUGGGUUCAUCCGGAAUUGUACGUUGACAAAUCAAGGGGAGCUGAACUGAAGGUCAGUCUAGAUGUUACUUUUCCACAUAUUCCUUGUGCUUGUGAGUCGCACUGCUGACUGUGGAGGGAUAACUUUUAGUACUUGCCGAGGGCUCAUGAGGCUCCGUGGGCCCGCUGCUUCCGAGUGCUGCGCUGCUGCUUGGGCAAUAAUUGGACCUUAAUGCCAAUGCCACGUGUUAGCCUUUCUCCAGAAGUUAUAAAAGCAGAAUGAGCGUUAAGAAUCUGAUUGCCUUUUAACUAAAUUCAAAACCAAGUUGCGGGAUGAAGUGACUGGAAGUCCUGCAGUCUUCAGUACUGGUGUGCUAAAGAUAUUGUUUUCUUUACAGGAUUUAUUGGUUCUUGAAGAACAAGAGGUAAAUGUAAACUUUUCACUCCUAGCACGUACUUAGUGACUUGUAACAACAGUGUCUUAGGGUGUCAAGUUGAAAAAAAAAAAGAUUCUGGUAAUUGUAGGCAAACAGCUGAAAACUUAACAUUCUGCUUAAGGCCAGAAAAAAAUCAGAAUCUGUUUUUUGGCAAUUGUUCAUUGAAAUGCAUACUUUGGGUGAUAACGCAAACUGUCAGCAUUCCUAGAGUUGUAUGUGUGUGCACAGUACCGUGUAACAUACUGCCUGUGUGACUGAGAGCUGCCCGGAGAGUGUGAUGUGAGGCAUGCGGUGUCACUGAAGCGAAUGGGGAGUCCUGAUCUGCGUGUCAGUGUUCCCUGCGAGGGGACAGACAGAGCGAUUGAAAAAUCAAUUUAUGAAGUGUUGGAAUGCAUCAUUAGAAAUUAAGAGCCGGAGACUGUGGACAAAACAUUAGAACUAACAUCAUUUGGAAAAAGCACGAAUUAGCCUCUGCCCCUAGUGUCGUAGGUGCUGUCUGUCUAUUCGAGCAAAGGGUGGCAAGUGUCUAAGAUAAAUUAUCUCCUCGGAAAAAUAUUAUUACGGAUACGUGAAGAAAACUGAACAUAGGUGUUUGGAUUUGUGGAUGGGCAGUUGUUUUUUCAGAUGUGAAAUGGAGUUUUCCCUUUAGACUCGAAAAGUUGAAGGCCAGAAAACCUGGUGGAGGCCCAAACUGAGGUACGUUUGGGCCCUGAAACUCAGCAGAGGCCCUAAAUAAGGUAAGCGUAGGGCCUGAAAUGCAGCGAAGGCGUGAGCAACAGGCCCUGAACAACAGUUGACCUUUAGGUGGCAUCGCCGACUGAGUGUUACAGGGAUAUAUAUACACAUGUAUUUAGUAUUGGCUCUGUAGCAGAAUGUGUGUGGUCCUUGGCAAGCUAUGCGUGAUCCUUAGCGAAAGGUGUAGCUUGGCUAAACUAGAAUCAUGAGGGAAGAGAGAGUGCCUCUUGCUUAGAGGCGGGUGGCCAAGGCCGUGGAUCCAGCUGCCUGGCUCUGUUCGGAACGGGGUGGUCAAAGUGCAGUAGAUACAGGAAUCUCCCUCAGGUCCUCCCUAAGCCCUGGCCAGGCUUUGGUGGGAUCCGAGAGGCAAGCGAAACCGGGUGCUUCCGCAUUUGCAGUGAGGUGAGCUUGUUUAUUCCAUAGCACAAAACUGGACCCUCUUGCAGCGACUUUGGAGACCUCAGCUACGAGGGGACGCCCUGCGCAGCACUUCCCAUUGCCGGGAGAGGCUCUCCAAAUCCUCGCUGCAAGAGGGGCUCCCCAGUGCCUGCGCAUCUGGAGGAUGGUAACGUACUGGGGCAACUGGAAUAGGUAUCGUUCUUCAUCGCCGUAGCUAACCUGCGGUAGGACUGAUGAGGUGCGUUGCCUCGCUUAUCUGUUCUUCUGCCUGAAUGAGGGUCUUGUAGGUGAAUUCUUUUGUACGCGUGUAUUGUAUUAAUCUGUAUGAAUUGAAAACCAAGUGAAUAAAAGCUAUUUCCCA